GGCUGUCAAGCAAUGGGAGGAGUCGUGAGAACCUGGAUAACGGCGGGCUGAGCCACCGGCUUGGCGCGGCGGCCAAACUGGUGGGACAGUGUCUCCAGGUGGUGAGGCCCAACCUUUUUAAAACAAACAAACAAAAACCAAAAUGCAAACGUGAGUAGGGAAUGAAAUACACAGUUUAAAUGCCCUCACUAUCUUUGGGUUACUAAUAUACUAAGCCUUUCUGGACUAAGUAAAGGAUGCAGGUUCCUGCGGCUAGGGGUAGAAGCCAGACUGGCGUCUUCAGAAUCUCCCACCAAGGCUCCUCUGGAGGAGUUCUGGGUUUGGAUUUGGUCAUCUCAAGAAGAGUCUUCAGAUGGAUUUUAAAAUUGAACACACUUGGGAUGGUUUUCCAGUGAAGCACGAGCCAGUAUUUAUCAGGCUGAAUCCAGGUGACAGAGGAGUGAUGAUGGACAUUAGUGCUCCAUUUUUCAACGAUCCUCCAGCCCCACUUGGAGAACCAGGAAAACCUUUCAAUGAACUGUGGGAUUGUGAAGUUGUGGAAGCAUUUUUCUUGAAUGAUAUAACUGAGCAGUAUUUAGAAGUUGAACUUUGUCCCCACGGACAGCAUUUAGUGCUUUUACUUUCUGGAAGAAGAAAUGUGUGGAAACAAGAACUUCCUUUAUCAUUCAGAGUGUCCAGAGGUGAGACAAAAUGGGAAGGCAAAGCUUAUCUCCCUUGGAGUUAUUUUCCACCAAAUGUGACAAAAUUCAAUUCAUUUGCAAUUCAUGGAUCAGAAGAUCAACGAAGUUAUGAAGCUCUUUACCCUGUACCUCAGCAUGAACUGCAACAAGGACAAAAACCUGAUUUGUAAGUAGAAAAUAAAUGAAGAUAUGUUCCAAAUAUACGAGUUUUUUCGAAAUUAAUUCUUAAUGGAGCCAAAGUAACACUUUUGAUCAAAGAAGGCGAUAUAUGUGCACAAGUACCUAGUAGAGUCCAAUGUUCACUGAUGGUCCUCAGAAAAUACUUGGUAAACUUUGGACUGACAUAAUCUCUCUCACUACUGUCAGUAGAGCACUUAUUUUUCCAUAGUGGUAUGAGAAAAGUGUUGUUUGCAUGUGAGAAAAGUAAAUGUUGCAACAGCUGAUAUAGAAGUAUGGUCGCAAAUUCAUUUAAAAUUUCUUUCAGAGCUAAAGGGCCAGAGGCAUCAGUGUUUCCUGGUAUGAACAAACGGUCCCCUGUUACAAGGAAAUCUAAUCUUCAGUUAUCUCUGUAGUUCUCCUCUUCUGGUAACCUCAUAAGGAUAAAAAUAUCAACUAUGUUUCUAGGCAACAUUGCUUGUGAUAAAAAUGACCCUUAAGUGGUAAAUUACAUCUGGACUGAGAAUAAUUUUGGAUGAAUUAUAAAUAUAUGAUGGAGACAGCGUGGCUUUGGGAUUCCCCUGUAACAGUCAUCUUCCCUGUGGGAACCCUGGAAACUAUGGCUUUGGAGUUAUUCCAAGAGAUACUGCUCUCAUGGGGCGGCAGGCAUUUGAGCCAAGCCAUCGCCUAGAAUACUUCAAGCCUUUCAAUUUUAACACACUGCUUGGAAAAGAAUGGAAACAACCGGAAUCAGACCUGUGGCUAAUAGAGAAAUGUGAUAUACAGGAGUAAUAGAUAACCAUACCAAUCAUUUUUUCUCUAUACCUUUUAAGAUAAACAAAAAAUAAAUGUCAAUUUUUUUAAGAUGUCAUACAUACAUUUCAACAACAAAUAUUUUCAUAGAAGUCACUGAAAAUAUAGUAUCUGUGGCAAAUUGUAUAUGAUUAACAAGAAAAUAUAUGAUUCUUUGUAGAUUAUUUCAUCUGUAAAGUCACAGUGUUUCUCAGAGUCACUUAGUCCAGGAUGUUACAUUCCCAGCACACAGUACAGUUAUUCUUGAGAAGUACAAGUGAGAAAGAGGGGACAGUUGAGUUUGUCCAAGGACACCUAGAGCACUGUCCUGCACUAUCUUAUGAUUCAGCCAUUUCAUUCCUAGAUAUAUACCUCAGAAAAAUGACUGCUCAUAGCAGCUUUAUUCAUAAUAGCACAAAAUUGUAAAGUCAAAUUUCCAUCCAUAGGAAAAUGGAUAGACAAACUGCAAUAUAGUCAGUGGAAUACUCUUCAUUUAAAAAAGGACUGCUGAUAUAUGCAACAACCUGUAUGAAUCUCAAAAACAUUAAGUUGAGCAAAACAAGCCAGACAUAACAUACUAUCUAAUUUCUUUUAUAUUAAAGCCACUUCCAGGCAAAACUAGCAUUUGAUGAUAGAUACCAGAACAGUGGCUGCUUAGAGUGAGGGCGGGGAAUUCAAAUUGAAUGGAAAAGGGGCCUGAGGAAAUUUUCUGGGGUGAUUGAAAUGUUUUGUAUUUUGAUCUGGAUGAUGGUUAUGUAGCUGCAUACAUUUGUCAACAUUCCUCAUGUUUAGAUUUGUGAUUUUAGUAUAUGUAAAUUAAUUCCUUAAUAAAAUACUAUUAUAAAAUAAGCUGUAAAUUAAAUGGAAUUAACUUCAAGUUUA
RNA transcript from Nomascus leucogenys (northern white-cheeked gibbon), 2510 nucleotides. It is a transcript of the gene named chromosome 7b C4orf33 homolog, with no coding region annotated. Lineage: Eukaryota; Metazoa; Chordata; Mammalia; Primates; Hylobatidae. The record is from RefSeq and is a predicted model, not a curated record. The transcript has 6 exons.